Molecule: unclassified non-coding RNA, 213 nt
Filed under: Hevea brasiliensis (rubber tree)
Lineage: Eukaryota; Viridiplantae; Streptophyta; Magnoliopsida; Malpighiales; Euphorbiaceae
Source: RNAcentral
CUACAAUUGAGCAUGCACAGACAUGUGUGCUCGAUCGGAAGAUUUACGUCUACAAUCCCCAUGAUUUGGAACAGAAAAGUGGAGUGGUCUUUAAUGUUGUAGGACAAGUGAUGGGGCUACUUUCAGAUCACCAGUACGUUCCCAUAGAUAAGCUAUCUGAAAGUGAAAAGGCUGAUGCUCAUAACUUGGUUAUCUCUGCGUACAAACAUUGGG